This 39-nucleotide transfer RNA is filed under the name Alpinia galanga (greater galangal). Its description in RNAcentral is "partial tRNA-Phe". The record is from RNAcentral. Lineage: Eukaryota; Viridiplantae; Streptophyta; Magnoliopsida; Zingiberales; Zingiberaceae.
UAGCUCAGUUGGUAGAGCAGAGGACUGAAAAUCCUCGUG